Molecule: transfer-messenger RNA, 370 nt
Filed under: Rhodoblastus sp.
Lineage: Bacteria; Pseudomonadati; Pseudomonadota; Alphaproteobacteria; Hyphomicrobiales; Rhodoblastaceae
Also listed under: 1 other name
Rfam family: Alphaproteobacteria transfer-messenger RNA
About the family: Bacterial tmRNA, also known as 10Sa RNA or SsrA, is named for its dual tRNA and mRNA-like properties. Its role is to liberate the mRNA from a stalled ribosome. To accomplish this part of the tmRNA is used as a reading frame that ends in a translation stop signal.
Source: RNAcentral
GCCCUUUCGCUCCGGGGCGGAGCGCACUAUAUUCGAUCCGUCUUCGCAAGAAGACUAUGGCGAUAAACAGGCUUCGUAAUAAACCAUCCGGACCCGGGGGCGGUACCCGGCGCCUCCACCCCAGCCCAGACCUCGCAUUUUUGCGGAUCUGGGUUGCGGCGGGGGCGAAACAGGAUCGACGGGGGCGUAAAGGAAGAUCUUUUGCCCGGCAUGAUACCGCCGUUAUCGGGUCAAACCUAUAGUUGCCAACGACAACUAUGCUCCGGUGGCCGUCGCCGCGUAAUGCGGUGAAGGUACUGGGAAUCAAGCCCUAGGGGGUUAGCACCUUCUAGGCGGGGCUCGGAGGCGCCUGGCAACAGAAGCCUCCACU